UGGGAUAUAGCUCAGUUGGUAGAGUACUUGCUUUGCAUGCACAAGGACCUGGGUUCAAUCCCCAACACCACAC
RNAcentral lists this transfer RNA (73 nucleotides) under Marmota marmota marmota (Alpine marmot). It matches the Rfam family "tRNA". Rfam says of the family: Transfer RNA (tRNA) molecules are approximately 80 nucleotides in length. Lineage: Eukaryota; Metazoa; Chordata; Mammalia; Rodentia; Sciuridae. RNAcentral also lists the same sequence under 1 other name. The record is from Rfam by way of RNAcentral.